This 465-nucleotide ribosomal RNA is filed under the name uncultured bacterium. RNAcentral's name for it is "partial 16S ribosomal RNA". It matches the Rfam family "Bacterial small subunit ribosomal RNA", at positions 338 to 795 of the family's 1533-position model. The record is from RNAcentral.
CCUACGGGAUGCAGCAGUGGGGAAUAUUGCGCAAUGGGCGAAAGCCUGACGCAGCGACGCCGCGUGAGGGAUGAAGGUCUUCGGAUCGUAAACCUCUGUCAGCAGGGAAGAACGGUCACUGUGCUAAUCAGCAGUGCAUUGACGGUACCUGCAAAGACAGCACCGUCUAACUCCGUGCAAGCAGCCGCGGUAAUACGGAGGGUGCGAGCGUUAAUCGGAAUUACUGGGCGUAAAGCGCUCGUAGGCGGUAUGUCAAGUCAAGGGUGAAAUCCCCGCGCUCAACGUGGGAACUGCCUUUGAAACUGGCAAACUGGAGUGUGUGAGAGGAUAGUGGAAUUCCAGGUGUAGGAGUGAAAUCCGUAGAUAUCUGGAGGAACACCAGUGGCGAAGGCGACUAUCUGGAACAUAACUGACGCUGAGGAGCGAAAGCGUGGGUAGCAAACAGGAUUAGAUACCCCAGUAGUC